UGAACGGGAGUGAGAGUCAUGUUUACCCAGGUUCAGACCCUCCCAUGGAGGUAAAAGCCUACGUCCUGCUUUGUGUAUAUUGAUGGUGGAAUCGAUUACAAGGGAGCUUAUUCUCCUGACCUAGCUUUCGAUUGAUUGUAACUUAACCCUAUAUGCCCUAGAGGCUCACCUUUAUAUACAGGUCGAGGCUCUAGUUUUAGAAGAGUCCGGGUCACAUCAUGAUUC
RNAcentral lists this long non-coding RNA (225 nucleotides) under Hordeum vulgare. RNAcentral's name for it is "long non-coding RNA (HVUL_LNC017993)". The record is from RNAcentral. Lineage: Eukaryota; Viridiplantae; Streptophyta; Magnoliopsida; Poales; Poaceae.